ACCUUGCGAAAGUAAGACUAAUACCCAAUGAUAUCUCUAGAAGACAUCUGAAAGGAUUAAAGAUUUAUCGGUGAUGGAUGGGGAUGCGUCUGAUUAGCUUGUUGGCGGGGUAACGGCCCACCAAGGCGACGAUCAGUAGGGGUUCUGAGAGGAAGGUCCCCCACAUUGGAACUGAGACACGGUCCAAACUCCUACGGGAGGCAGCAGUGAGGAAUAUUGGUCAAUGGGCGAGAGCCUGAACCAGCCAAGUAGCGUGCAGGAUGACGGCCCUAUGGGUUGUAAACUGCUUUUAUAAGGGAAUAAAGUGAGUCUCGUGAGACUUUUUGCAUGUACCUUAUGAAUAAGGACCGGCUAAUUCCGUGCCAGCAGCCGCGGUAAUACGGAAGGUCCGGGCGUUAUCCGGAUUUAUUGGGUUUAAAGGGAGCGUAGGCCGGAGAUUAAGCGUGUUGUGAAAUGUAGACGCUCAACGUCUGCACUGCAGCGCGAACUGGUUUCCUUGAGUACGCACAAAGUGGGCGGAAUUCGUGGUGUAGCGGUGAAAUGCUUAGAUAUCACGAAGAACUCCGAUUGCGAAGGCAGCUCACUGGAGCGCAACUGACGCUGAAGCUCGAAAGUGCGGGUAUCGAACAGGAUUAGAUACCCUGGUAGUCCGCACGGUAAACGAUGGAUGCCCGCUGUUGGUCUGAAUAGGUCAGCGGCCAAGCGAAAGCAUUAAGCAUCCCACCUGGGGAGUA
RNAcentral lists this ribosomal RNA (734 nucleotides) under uncultured bacterium. RNAcentral describes it as "bacterial SSU rRNA". It matches the Rfam family "Bacterial small subunit ribosomal RNA", at positions 146 to 882 of the family's 1533-position model. The record is from RNAcentral.